UUUAACUGAAGAGUUUGAUCAUGGCUCAGAUUGAACGCUGGCGGCAGGCUUAACACAUGCAAGUCGAGCGGGGGAAGGUAGCUUGCUACUGGACCUAGCGGCGGACGGGUGAGUAAUGCUUAGGAAUCUGCCUAUUAGUGGGGGACAACAUCUCGAAAGGGAUGCUAAUACCGCAUACGUCCUACGGGAGAAAGCAGGGGAUCUUCGGACCUUGCGCUAAUAGAUGAGCCUAAGUCGGAUUAGCUAGUUGGUGGGGUAAAGGCCUACCAAGGCGACGAUCUGUAGCGGGUCUGAGAGGAUGAUCCGCCACACUGGGACUGAGACACGGCCCAGACUCCUACGGGAGGCAGCAGUGGGGAAUAUUGGACAAUGGGGGGAACCCUGAUCCAGCCAUGCCGCGUGUGUGAAGAAGGCCUUAUGGUUGUAAAGCACUUUAAGCGAGGAGGAGGCUACUUUAGUUAAUACCUAGAGAUAGUGGACGUUACUCGCAGAAUAAGCACCGGCUAACU
RNAcentral lists this ribosomal RNA (509 nucleotides) under Acinetobacter baumannii. RNAcentral describes it as "bacterial SSU rRNA". It matches the Rfam family "Bacterial small subunit ribosomal RNA", at positions 1 to 502 of the family's 1533-position model. The record is from RNAcentral. Lineage: Bacteria; Pseudomonadati; Pseudomonadota; Gammaproteobacteria; Moraxellales; Moraxellaceae.